GGGAGAAUAGUUUAAAGGUAGAAUAUUGGUCUCCAAAACCAAAAGUAAGGGUUCAAGUCCCUUUUCUCCUG
This 71-nucleotide transfer RNA is filed under the name Cymbomonas tetramitiformis. RNAcentral describes it as "tRNA-Trp". It matches the Rfam family "tRNA". Rfam says of the family: Transfer RNA (tRNA) molecules are approximately 80 nucleotides in length. The record is from RNAcentral. Lineage: Eukaryota; Viridiplantae; Chlorophyta; Pyramimonadophyceae; Pyramimonadales; Pyramimonadaceae.